Lacerta agilis (Sand lizard) is the source of this 71-nucleotide non-coding RNA. NCBI's taxonomy places the organism in Eukaryota, Metazoa, Chordata, Lepidosauria, Squamata, Lacertidae. The record is from the annotation of a RefSeq genome assembly.
GGAGUGUAGCUCAGUGGUACAGCAUCUGCCUUUCAUGCAAAAGGUCCUGGGUUCAACCCCCAGCAUCUCCA